This 125-nucleotide ribosomal RNA is filed under the name Vibrio parahaemolyticus. RNAcentral describes it as "partial 16S ribosomal RNA". It matches the Rfam family "Bacterial small subunit ribosomal RNA", at positions 1418 to 1533 of the family's 1533-position model. The record is from RNAcentral. Lineage: Bacteria; Pseudomonadati; Pseudomonadota; Gammaproteobacteria; Vibrionales; Vibrionaceae.
CAAAAGAAGUAGGUAGUUUAACCUUAGGGGGGACGCUUACCACUUUGUGGUUCAUGACUGGGGUGAAGUCGUAACAAGGUAGCGCUAGGGGAACCUGGCGCUGGAUCACCUCCUUAUACGAUGAU